RNAcentral lists this ribosomal RNA (556 nucleotides) under uncultured bacterium. RNAcentral describes it as "partial 16S ribosomal RNA". It matches the Rfam family "Bacterial small subunit ribosomal RNA", at positions 355 to 900 of the family's 1533-position model. The record is from RNAcentral.
UGGGGAAUAUUGCACAAUGGGCGCAAGCCUGAUGCAGCCAUGCCGCGUGUGUGAAGAAGGCCUUCGGGUUGUAAAGCACUUUCAGCGAGGAGGAAGGUGGUGAAGCUUAAUACGCUCAUCAAUUGACGUUACUCGCAGAAGAAGCACCGGCUAACUCCGUGCCAGCAGCCGCGGUAAUACGGAGGGUGCAAGCGUUAAUCGGAAUUACUGGGCGUAAAGCGCACGCAGGCGGUUUGUUAAGUCAGAUGUGAAAUCCCCGGGCUCAACCUGGGAACUGCAUUUGAAACUGGCAAGCUAGAGUCUCGUAGAGGGGGGUAGAAUUCCAGGUGUAGCGGUGAAAUGCGUAGAGAUCUGGAGGAAUACCGGUGGCGAAGGCGGCCCCCUGGACGAAGACUGACGCUCAGGUGCGAAAGCGUGGGGAGCAAAACAGGAUUAGAUACCCUGGUAGUCCACGCUGUAAACGAUGUCGAUUUUGGAGGUUGUGCCCUUGAGGCGUGGCUUCCGGAGCUAACGCGUUAAAUCGACCGCCUGGGGAGUACGGCCGCAAGGUUAAAAC